ACGGCUGAACCAGCAAUUUGGGGGAACGAAUAGCUUCGGCUAAUUAUACUUGGCUGUUUAACUUAUUAUAAGUAAUUUUUAUUUAAUAUAAUGGUUAUUCAUUUUAACCUUAACUAUAGGGAAGACCAAUAGUUAGUGGUUAAUUAAUUCGCCGCUUCUAUAUGAUUAAGAGAAUAUUUUAUUUUCAGGGACAAGUGUAAGAUCGAUUUUGUCGAAUAAAGUUCUAGAUAAAAUACUGAUUAUGACAAUUUUUUAUCUAUAUGUCUUGACCAAACUACGUGCCAGCAGUCGCGGCAAUACGGAGAAGACUAGUGUUAUUCAUCUUUAAUAGGUUUAAAGGGUACCUAGACGGUAGAAUUAGUCUGAAAUAAGAUACGAUUUUGCUAGAGUUAUAUAUGAGAAGGCGAGUAUUUAUGGAGAAGAGUUGAAAUUCUGUCAUCCCAUAACGACUGGUAACGGCGAAAGCAACCUUUUAUCUAAUAACUGACGUUGAGGGACGAAGGCUCGGGUAACGAACAGGAUUAGAUACCCUAGUAGUCCAAGCAGAGAAUUAUGAAUGCCAUAGAUUAGAUAUUUUUGGUCUAUAAAUGAAAGUGUAAGCAUUUCACCUCAAGAGUAAUGUGGCAACGCAGGAACUGAAAUCAUUAGACCGUUUCUGAAACCAGUAGUGAAGUAUGUUAUUUAAUUCGUCGGUACGCGAAAAACCUUACCACAAUUUGAAUAUUAUUUUAGUAAAACACGUAUUACUUAUAUUAUCUUUAAGAUAAGACAUAUAAUACAUAUAAAAUAUUACAAGCGUUGCACGGCUGUCUUAAGUUAAUGUCGUGAGAUAUUGGUUAAUUCCAUUAAAUUAACGGAAACCCUUGCUUUAUUUGUAAUUUACAUAAAUAAGGCUGCACACCAUUAUAUCGGAUAUGUUAAUAGGGACCAAGACAA
Molecule: ribosomal RNA, 936 nt
Filed under: Trichopeziza sp. TK-2020a
Lineage: Eukaryota; Fungi; Ascomycota; Leotiomycetes; Helotiales; Tricladiaceae
Description: SSU rRNA
Rfam family: Bacterial small subunit ribosomal RNA (bases 162-936)
Source: RNAcentral